Molecule: long non-coding RNA, 9254 nt
Organism: Ictalurus punctatus (channel catfish)
Lineage: Eukaryota; Metazoa; Chordata; Actinopteri; Siluriformes; Ictaluridae
Source: Ensembl
CCUGGAUCAGGAAACUGUCACAAGUUUGUGGUGGACUUUAACAGGAAACAUAGCAAGCACAUCACACAUAACUCUGUUGCAAACUGGGUGCCAAAGUUGGGAGAUAUGGCUCUGUGUGUGUUUAAAAAGAAAUGGCAAUCAUGUAGAGGAUGUUUUGUAAAUAAAGUUACAUUUUGUUAAAAAAGUGUUCAUUUCCUCUAGGUACAGAGACUUUUGGGACAUGCUGGAAAAACAAGAUAUUCUGUAUUUUCUUCCUCGUACCUGUUUUCACAAUGAAAAGUUCAGGAACAUCAGGUAGAGACUCUACCCUGAAAUCACAGAUGUUUAAAAAAAAAAAAAAACAACUAAUGAAUGAAAAUAAUGAAUGUGACGUUAGUUUGCUGUGUACGUGUAUGUGUUCACUCUAUCUAACAGUGUUUCAAUCAGUCUUAGGGAAGCUGCACUUGGCAGAACAUUAUUUGAAGAUUAAUGUAGCAUAACUGGGCUGUAUGGGUUUGGAAGGCAAGCAGCUUAGCAUAGGCCUCCAAGUGUUUUGACUUUAGCCAAACAAGACAAAGCAAAAUCUUAUCUGUACUUAGCAUCCUUAGGGGAAUUCCCUUUGUUUGCUUAGUGAUUUUUUAAAAGAAAAAAGCAAUAAUACUCCCAAGCUGAUGAAUGUUUGAAAAGCACAUAAAAUGACUGCACUUUGCAGACCAUUUAAGGACUCCCACCAUGGGCAAAUGUGUGUUUGUUCCUCUGGUUUGAUUUAUUUACAUGAGGAAUGAAAACGUGUACAAAAUGAUGGACUGCACAUGGAGAAAUGGUAAAGGCCAUGAUGCAGCCCUUUGUGUUUUAGAAGUGUAAUGAAUGAUGUACAAAAAGAGCCAAUUAAAAAAAAAAGAGAGAAUGGAAUAUAAAACUAUGUGUAGAGUAAGGAGUAUAAACAGAUCAUUAAAAAGAAGAAAAGAAAAGAAAAGAAAAGAAAUGAUGCCAGAUGUGUGACUGAGGCAAAGUACAUGUCUGUCUUUAUUUGUAGUUAUGCACCAUUGAGGUAGCUAUGCUUAAUACUGACACAAUAGUUACACAAAUAUAAUUAAUACAAACACUAUAUAUAUACGCUCCGGCUAUAUGGCCAAAAGUAAGUGGACACCUCACUAUCACACCCAUAUAUGCUUGUUGAACAUCCUAAUCCAGAUUUAGUCUCAUUUUGCUGUUAUAAUAACCUCCACUCUUCUGGGAAGGCUUUCCACUAGAGUUUGGAGUGUGGCUUUGGGGAUUUGCUCAUUCAGCCACAAGAGCAUUAGUGAGUUCAGGUGCUCAUGUCAUGCAAGGAGUCCUGGGAUGUUUCCACAGUUUUUCAAAGGAUAAUAAUGAAUCUGUUAUAGAUUCUGAUUCAGAUUUUUUUUUUCCAACUAAAACCAACAGUGUGAUCAUUUUCACUGCACAACCAAACUAUAAGCUAACUGGUUAUCAUUAAAAAUAACUCAAUCCUAAAGCAAGCUGCCCCAGUGCAAUUUCAUAUUUGGUCUAGUUCAGUAUGGACUCUGAGAGGGAAUGUUUUAAACAUCAACCUUGAAGAAUUCAAACAGCUAUUUAAAAAAAAAAAACAAAAAAAAAAAAAAAACCUAAAAAGACAACAUUUUGCCAGAUGAGAAACUGAAGCAAAGCCUUGACCACUUUUACCUUCACCUUUAUACCUUUCAAUUAAGCGCCAGUGAGUAACUAUGCUUAAUACAGGCAAUAUAGGUACACACAUAGAAUAAACAAGGCAGAGGACCCAAAAGUGUGAAAGACAUGUCUGCAUGCUUGUUUAUGAUGUCAUUAAGGAUUGUGUGUCAAGCAUUCACCUUCUCUGUAAAACCAUCUUGUUUUAUGAAAAACGCAGUCCUUGCACACUUCAAGACAUAUGGAAAUAUUCUUAACUUUCAAUUCUGUUUUUUUUUUUUUUUUUUUUUUUACAAGAAUGGAGAAACGUUUGUUUCCACUGGGGGCCAUUUGUUUAUGGUGAGGCACACUGCUGAUUGCUGAGGAAAUAGUUGAGUCAUGAAAUAAAGAAUAUGGUUUCUGUAACAGUGCUUUCUAUACUGUGUCCAAAGCCAAGACAAAUAUUUCACUUAAAUACCACUGCACUGAAACCAUGGCAGGUAAUUAUGCAUGAAUAUUCCUGCUGCAUUCUUCAAGUCCUCCAGGUUUAUGGGUUCAAUAAUUUUUUUUUUUCACAAACAUAAACUAUAUAGUUCAACAAAUGUUCAUUUUCAUAAACCUUGAUAAAUCUUCAUAAUCCUCAUUCACAACUCUAUAACAUCAUACAUUUUAAAUAACAUUGAAACAAUAAUUAUCAUUUUUGAGUGACCAAGAUUUUAAAACUUUAUAUAUGACAGAUAUAAGCUGAAUUUUCAUUGAUUUGCUUGAUCACUCAGUUCACUCACUACCCCAUUUAGCUCCAUAGCGAUAUUAUUGCACCUAGUGGUCAAAAAAGGGAACUGCAAUUAGGAAAUGCAAAAUAAAGGUCCUGUGGGGAAUGAAUCAAGCUUCCCUAUGUUUGUACUGUACUGUGUAUUUUCAGUGAAGGAGGAGCAAUGGGAAGGACAGUAAACAACAGGGUUGCUUAGGUUCUUAUUUUUACACCAAAUUGGAAAAGUGUUUUUUUUUUAAAAUACUCUGUGGCAACCUAGAUCACGUUUUAUAUGAAAUAAUCAGAAUGAAAUCUAAUAAAUUUCUGCAACACAAGGCAAAGUGUAAGUGCCGAUAGUGUGUUUGUGAAGUACAGAACUAUUGUAAGAUAUAUUUAGUACAGUCUGUGUAUCUUCAUUUCUGAAGGAGUAACAGGCUGCAUUAACACCUUCCUAAAUACCUUGUAUGCAUCUCUUAAAAGCCUACAGUGUCCUCCACUAAUAUUGGCACCCUUGGUACAUAUGAGCAAAGAAGGCUGUGAAAAAUUGUCUUUAUUGUUUACCCUUUUGAUCUUUUGUUACAUUUUUAAAAAAUAUAUUCUGUUCUCAUGGAUAUCAAACAAUUACAAACACAACACAGGCUUAUAAAAUAAUCUUUGUUAAAAUAUAGGUGUGCAACAAUUACUGGAUUCAUAUGAGAUAAGUAUAUACCCAUUGAUAUUUUAAAAAAAUAAAUUGUUACACCUGGGUGACUAGGAACAGGAAAUUGUUCAACCAUGACUUCCUGUUUCACAGGGGUAUAAAUAUGAGGUAACAUAUAGACCAAAUUCCCUUUUUCAUUCAUAUUAAUGGGUAAGAGUGAGGAAUAUAGCUGUGAUGUGUGACAAAAGGUUGUUGAGUUUCACAAAAUGGGAAGUGGCUAUAAGAAAAUAGCACAAGCAUUGAAAAUGACCAUUUCCACCAUCAGGGCAAUAAUUAAGAAGUUCCAGUCAACUGUAAAUGUUAUGAAUCAACAUGGAAUUGGAUGUGUGUCUAUUAAAAUAAAACAAACUCUGGCAUCUUCAGUUUGCCAGACACUACUGGAACUUCAAAUGGGAUCGGGUUCUAUGGUCAGAUGAAACCAAAAUAGAGCUUUUUAGCUACAAAUACCGGAAGUGGUUUUAGCUCACACAGAGAGGUAGACAUAUGGAAAAGUAACCUGACUGCCUCUGCCAGAAAGCUUAAAAAGGGCCAUGGUUGGAUCUUCUAGCAGGACAAUUAUCCAAAAUAUACAUCAAAAUCAACACAAAAAUGGUUUACUGACCACAAAAUCAAGGUCCUGCCAUGGCCAUCCCAGUCCCCUGACUUGAAACCCAUAGAAAACCUGUGGGGUGAACUGAAGAGGAGAGUCCACCAGCAUGGACCUCGAAAUGUGAAGGAUCUGGAGAGAUUCUGUAUGGAGGAAUGCUCUCAGAUCCCUUGCCAUGCAUUCCCCAACCUCAUCAGGCAUUAUUGAAAAAGACUCAGAGCUAAAAGGGCACCAAUUGUUGCCCAGCUAUAUUUAAUAAAGAUUUUUUUCACAGCCUUCUCUGCUCAUAUUUACUAAGAGUGCCAAUAUUAGUGGAGGGCACUGUAUAACUCAGGCCUGAAUUCAGAUCUGGAUGUUGGCCAUACUUGUAGCAAUCUAAAAAUAUUGCAGAUGCUAAAAUGCCCUGUUUUUCCUCUAAAAGCAACUGUGGGAGAUGUACCAGUCAAAUAAAUGGUAGCUCCCAAUGGGUUAUUUGUGAAAUUGAGUUGGUCUAUUGGUCAAAAAAGAAAAAGUUCAGUACACUCUGUUAGAGAGAAUCAACAAACACCUCAACCUUGGAAAUUUGCAUGUUUCCACAAAGAGCUUAAUGCUUGAGAGAUGUAUUGAAUGUUCCACAUAUUUCAAAGAGGAAAUUCACUCUCUGUGGGCCUUUGCUCUUACAUUCUGCCUUCCUUCAUUCCUCUGGCAGAAAAAUAAUACUGCACUCCCAUCCCUCUUUGAUCUACCUUCUCCUUUUUUGCUUUUUUUAUGGUUAUCUGAAUUUUCCUACAGCAAGAAGCCUCCAACAGUGAAUCUCUCCACCCUUUAGAUCUCCCAGACAGGAGAAUGUUUAAGAGGUAGCAGCUGCAGGAAAACUGCAUUCCUUUAAUGUCAUUUUUUUCUCCCUCACCUGGCACCAUUUUAGUUUGAACUUGGGUCACUAGCUUUUAUCAGACCUAUGGAAUUUGAUUUGAUAAGGUGCAGUUUUCAGAGAUAAUAUUUGGGAUAAUUCCUCAGAGAUGGCAUGCUUUUUAACUGAGAAAACCUUGGAAAUGUGUGCCGAAACCUCACUUCACUUGACUAAUCAAGUGCAACACUUUUUGUGAUGAAUGAUACUUUAUACACCUUUGGAAGAGAAAGCACCUCAUUGUUACUCAGUCUGAAAGCCUACAGUAUUUUGCUGAUUAUUAACAUUUACAUAUAGGAUUAAAAUGCAACAAAAGCACCUAAUCAUAACGGUAUAAUACACUAUUUUGAAUAGUCUAUAAUGGUAUUAUGAAUUAAAAUCAUGAUAUAAACUCAGAGUAAAUAAAUCUUUUGGGAAUUUGUUGCCGUAUGUGUUUAGAAAUUCCUUUCACCUCAAUUCAUAUAAAGUCAUUUAUAUGUAAUGGUACAGUAGGAAUCUUUACUUUAAAAAAUGGGCAUACAAGAGAUAUAAAGCUGACAGAACAGAGUGUAUGCAAUAUGAUAAACCUCCAUCUCACUCCAAAAUAUCAAAGAAGCACAGAGUUACCAUGGUCAUGCAAUCAUGGCAAAAAAAAACAAAACAAAACAAAAACAUUCUCUUAGGAGUUGUGGGCAAGUUUAUUUUCUAUCUCCACUGUAAAGAGAGAAUCUAAAUACAACCCAUAUGAAGGACAAGGCCAGCCUUGCUAGAAAUUGCGAAUUUACUCUAAGCCAUGUUUCAUGUAAGAGGAUAAUAAUGAGACAUGCAGCUAAUAGAUUGAUUUAAUCAUGUAUUUGCCAUCAUGCCAUAUACUAAUCAUGUCAUAUAUUAGGUAGCACAAAUGGAAAUACUCUGUAAAUAAUUAAAGGUAACACACUAAGAGUAGCAAUCAGAGUGACUAUGUUAAAAGAUGUUUAAAAGAUGCUUAAAAGAAAAUACAGCUUUAGUUAGAGAGGAAAGUUAUUCUUAUUUAGAGUCGGAUUAUUUUAGUAUAUUUAAAAUUUUAAAAUAAAGUUAUUCUGCUUGUUUUUAGUUUUGUGUUUUCCUCUAAAAGCAACUGUGUGAAAUGUACCAGUCAAACAAAUGGAAACUCCAGCAGGUUAUGUGUGAAAUUGAGUUGGACUAUUGGUAAAAAUGUUUGUUUGUUUUUUAAAAUUUUUAAUAUUGUAUAAAAUUUAUGUACAAUUUCUAGUUCAAUUUAGUCUCUUAGAGAGAAUUAUGAAAUCAACAAACACCUCAAGGUCACACACUAAGAGAAGCAAUCUGAGUGACUAUGUUAAAAAGAAAAUACAGCUUUAGUUAUACGGAAAGUUAGUCUUAAUUAGAGUCGGUUUAUUUUAGUCUAUUUUCAAUUUUUACAUCAACUUAUUCUUCUUGUUUUUAGUCCUCUUUUAAUCUUAUUUUAUUAGCCCAUUCACUUGUUUUGUGUGUUUGUUAGCUUUUGUGUUGUCUUAUUGUGUUAGUUAAGCUUAUUCCGUCCUAUCACUUUCUUUAAAACUGCUCCUCACUUUAAGACUGACAAAAAGCCAGGGUCUUGCCUUUAAGAAUCAUAAAAUGUCAUGAGGACUGUUAAAUCUGAGCACAUUUCACUAAUCUCAACUGCUAUUUAAAAAGCAUAUAUAUUUACAUUUUAUUUAUUUAGCAGACGGUUUUAUCCUAAGCAACUUAUAAAAUACAACCAAAACGAUAUACCAAACAGAAAAAGCAAGGAACAAUUUGAAAUAUUUCUAUCAGGAUCAUUUACAAGUCAGAAAGCAACAAAUGGAAUACUACAGUAUAUUGUCAUAUAUAUAUAUACAGGCAGCUAUAUGAUCAAAUUUGUCUCAAUUUAGCCAUCUGAAAUCCAUCCACAUUAUUACUUGCAUCCAUUACAGAAGUAUACAGCAGAUUCUAAGAAUAACAGGAGAUGGCUCUUUAAAACUGAUUAAAACGUAUUGUUAUUUAACAAAGAUUAUUGUUCUGGUGAAGUUUUCUGUAGAGACAUUUAUUUUAAUAUUUAUGGAAGGAGACUCCAGUGUCAGCACUUUGUAACAGUCAGUGAGUUUUCAGACAGGAAAGUCUUGAGGAACGAGGACGUUGCAUUUUUCUUGGUAACAUGGCACAAUGUGUUUUUGUCUUAUUAACUUAUGGAGCGAUAAAAAGAGAAGCUGGUGAGGGACUGAAGUACGUAAUAACGUAAGUGGAACUAACUUGUAUCAUAGUCGUUCCACACCAACCAUUAACUGAUAAAAUUAUAUGACAUUUUAUGUUAUCAUUAAAAAAAAACCCUGUAAUUGUUAUUGUGGUAUCAGAGGAAUAAAAUACUUUACAACCUUGGUGUGGUAAUGCUCCUCCAUUUCAUACUAUAUUGUUGACUUUGUCAUAUUUAAAUCCUUACCUAAUGUCAUUGGUAUAUAUUUAAUAUUGCUUUUAAAUGGCAUUCCAUAGAUCUUUUUCAUGUAUUCACAUUGUUCACAAUUUCAAGGUCAGAUAAUAACAAUGGAUUUAAAACUGCUCUUCAUCAUUGGCAUUGUGGAUAUCCCACAAGAAAAUCUGACUCACAUUCAAGGUCUGAACAACAGAGACACACCUUGUUUUGGACAAACUCCAUCAUUUUCCGAGCAGUGCUUAAAUAAUUAAAUAAUUCUGAAGAUCAAUGUGGGCAACUUUCAUGUGAGAAAAAGAUGCGCAGUACAGGAGCAUUUAUUUUAUUCUAAAAUGUUUUUCCAGCUAUGGUCUAUGAUUUCUCCUGCAGUUAGAUGGUUAGGGAAGGUCUGAGGGUUUUUAUUUUUGCCCCAGGCACGCCAUUUGCUUUUCAUUGCUUUAGCAACACUCAACAGCUUGUCAAGUAUUGACAAUGUAGUCAGUUCUGUGCUAAAACUAUGUGAUGGAACACCACUUUUUGUCAGAUGGUAAACAAGAAUAAACAGUUCAUUCUUAAAAUUCAGGUUACAAAACACAAUAUGUAGAAGGACAAUGGUUCAUUCUUUUGCAGACGAAUUUCAGCUGGAACAUUUUAAGACUUGACAAAUAAUAUUCUGACUUUAGCAUAACAAACAUAACUAGAGCAGAUGUAAGAAAAUACAUCACUGUUGAACUUUAGAUGGAAUUUAAAGGACAGAAUAUGUGUACAUCUGUGUAUAUUCUAAGCAGGAAACUUUCUUUCAAAUAUGGGAUUAAUUCUGACAUUUCCAGAUGCCAAUUGUUAAACUGUUUGGAUUUCAGGAAGGUAAGGGAAGUGUGUCUAAAUGCAGAUGUGGCAGAAUUGAUAACCAGAAAAUCCUAGCAGGCAGACAUGAGAGAAGUCUCAGUGCUAUCAAUAAAUGAUCAAACUUACUGAUUAAACCAAUAUUUAAAUGAAAAAUGCAGAAACAUUUGGAUUCAUAAGCAACCAGCUGUAUAAGUUUACUUCUUACAAUUGUUAUAAAGCAUACACUCACCUGUCACUUUAAUAUUUACACCUGUACUCCUGCACAUUCAUGCAGUUAUUGUAUGCACAAUGCCUAAAAUCAUGCAGAUACAGGUCAAGAGCUUCAGUUAAUGUUCACAUCAAAUAUCAGAAUGGGGAAAAAGAGUGAUCUCUGUGAUUUUAACCGUGGCAUGGUUGUUGGUGUCAGAUGGGAUGGUUUGAGUGUUUCAGAAAAUGCUGCUCUCCUGAGAUUUUCAUACAAACAAAACAAAAACGCAAAGAGAAAAACAUCAUGUGUGCAGAGGGUCUGCAGGCUGAAACACCUUAUGGAUAAGAGAGAGCAGAGGAAAAUGUCCAGAUUGGUCUGAGCUGACAUGUCUAUAGUGACUCAGAUGCAGAAAAACUGGACAUUUGAAGACUGGAAAAAGACCAGGUGAUUUUUUUUCUUCUUGUAAUCUUCAACUGUCCAGUUUCGUUGAGUCUGUGCCCAUGAAAGCAUCAGAUUCUUGUUCUUGGCUGACAGGAGUGGAACCCGAUGUGGUCUUCUGUAGUUGCAGCCCAUCAACCUCAAGGUUCAAUGUUUUCUGCAUGCUACAAUGCUCACCACAGUGAGCAGUAAAUGACUCUAUUACUAUAUCCUUCCUGGCAGCUCAAACCAAUCUGGCCAUUUUCCUCUGACCACUUUUAUCAACAAGGCGUUUUCACCCGCAGAACUGUUGCUCACUCAGUGUUUUUUGUUUUUCACACCAUCCUGUGUAAACUCUCGAGACUGUUGUGCAUGAAAUUCCCAGGACAUCAGUAGUUUCUGAAAUACUCAAACCAGCCCAUCUGGUACCAAUAUCCCUGCCAUGAUCAAAGACAUAAAGAUCACACUUUUUCUCCAUUCUGAUUUUUGAUAUGAACAACUAAAGCUCUUAACCUGUAUCUGUAUAAUUUUUUUUGCAUUGUGCUGCUGCCACAUGAUUGGCUGAUUAGAUAACUGCAUGAAUGUGUCAGGUGUACCUGAUAAAGUGGACUGUGACCGUAAGUGCAUGUCCAUUCUGCAGUCUGUAUCAGUUGUAUGUUUUUACACUAUUAUUCCUGACAUACAAGGAAAAUAUCAAACAAAUCAAACCACUUGUCUGCCCAAAAUACUCAAAAUUCUGAUAGCUUAUACGAAAAGAAAAGAUCCAAUCAGAAUUUUCUUUGCUAGCACGUAAACUAAUCAAAUGAUACUUUGAUAUGUAUCAAAAGUAUGUUUACUCUGGACGGUGUGACUUUGUAGAGAAUGUAGGAGUGAUG